UACUGAGGAUCCGAGCGUUAUCCGGAUUUAUUGGGUUUAAAGGGUGCUCAGGCGGGGGAUUAAGUCGGCGGUGAAAUUUUGCAGCUCAACUGUAAAAGUGCCUUCGAUACUGGCUUCCUUGAGUGUGGAUGAAGUAGGCGGAAUUUGUGGUGUAGCGGUGAAAUGCAUAGAUAUCACGAGGAACUCCGAUUUCGCAGGCAGCUUACUAAACCAUAACUGACGCUCAGGCACGAAGGCGUGGGGAUCAAACAGGAUUAGAUACCCCCGUA
RNAcentral lists this ribosomal RNA (269 nucleotides) under uncultured prokaryote. RNAcentral's name for it is "partial 16S ribosomal RNA". It matches the Rfam family "Bacterial small subunit ribosomal RNA", at positions 524 to 792 of the family's 1533-position model. The record is from RNAcentral.